This 253-nucleotide ribosomal RNA is filed under the name uncultured bacterium. RNAcentral's name for it is "partial 16S ribosomal RNA". It matches the Rfam family "Bacterial small subunit ribosomal RNA", at positions 524 to 776 of the family's 1533-position model. The record is from RNAcentral.
GACGUAGGAGGCGAGCGUUGUCCGGAUUCAUUGGGCGUAAAGAGCGCGCAGGCGGCUUGGUAAGUCGGAUGUGAAAACCCGAGGCUCAACCUCGGGCGUGCAUCCGAAACUGCUCGGCUAGAGGUAGGUAGGGGAGAUCGGAAUUCCCGGUGUAGCGGUGAAAUGCGCAGAUAUCGGGAGGAACACCGGUGGCGAAGGCGGUUCUCUGGGCCUGUACUGACGCUGAGGAGCGAAAGCGUGGGGAGCGAACAGG